RNAcentral lists this ribosomal RNA (459 nucleotides) under uncultured bacterium. RNAcentral describes it as "partial 16S ribosomal RNA". It matches the Rfam family "Bacterial small subunit ribosomal RNA", at positions 338 to 795 of the family's 1533-position model. The record is from RNAcentral.
CCUACGAGUGGCAGCAGUGAGGAAUAUUGGUCAAUGGCCGAGAGGCUGAACCAGCCAAGUCGCGUGAGGGAAGAAUGUCCUAUGGAGUGUAAACCUCUUUUGUCAGGGAGCAAAGUCACCCACGUGUGGGUGGUGGAGAGUACCUGAAGAAAUAGCAUCGGCUAACUCCGUUCCAGCAGCCGAGGGAAUACGGAGGAUGCGAGCGUUAUCCGGAUUUAUUGGGUUAAAAGGGUGCGUAGGCGGGUUAUCAAGUCAGCGGUACAAUAGGUGAGCUCAACUCCAUCCAGCCGUUGAAACUGAUGAUCUUGAGUGGGCGAGAAGUAUGCGGAAUGCGUGGUGUAGCGGUGAAAUGCAUAGAUAUCACGCAGAACUCCGAUUGCGAAGGCAGCAUACCGGCGCCCGACUGACGCUGAAGCACGAAAGCGUGGGUAUCGAACAGGAUUAGAUACCCUGGUAGUC